Molecule: ribosomal RNA, 592 nt
Filed under: uncultured bacterium
Lineage: Bacteria
Description: bacterial SSU rRNA
Rfam family: Bacterial small subunit ribosomal RNA
Source: RNAcentral
UACUCCUACGGGAGGCAGCAGUAGGGAAUCUUCCACAAUGGACGCGAGUCUGAUGGAGCAACGCCGCGUGAGUGAAGAAGGCUUUCGGGUCGUAAAACUCUGUUGUUGGAGAAGAAUGGUCGGCAGAGUAACUGUUGUCGGCGUGACGGUAUCCAACCAGAAAGCCACGGCUAACUACGUGCCAGCAGCCGCGGUAAUACGUAGGUGGCAAGCGUUAUCCGGAUUUAUUGGGCGUAAAGCGAGCGCAGGCGGUUUUUUAAGUCUGAUGUGAAAGCCCUCGGCUUAACCGAGGAAGUGCAUCGGAAACUGGGAAACUUGAGUGCAGAAGAGGACAGUGGAACUCCAUGUGUAGCGGUGAAAUGCGUAGAUAUAUGGAAGAACACCAGUGGCGAAGGCGGCUGUCUGGUCUGUAACUGACGCUGAGGCUCGAAAGCAUGGGUAGCGAACAGGAUUAGAUACCCUGGUAGUCCAUGCCGUAAACGAUGAAUGCUAGGUGUUGGAGGGUUUCCGCCCUUCAGUGCCGCAGCUAACGCAUUAAGCAUUCCGCCUGGGGAGUACGACCGCAAGGUUGAAACUCAAAGGAAUUGACGGA